UGCGUAGGCGGUCUUUCAAGCCAGAAGUGAAAGGCUACGGCUCAACCGUAGUAAGCUUUUGGAACUGUAAGACUUGAGUGCAGGAGAGGAGAGUGGAAUUCCUAGUGUAGCGGUGAAAUGCGUAGAUAUUAGGAGGAACACCAGUAGCGAAGGCGGUUCUCUGGACUGUAACUGACGCUGAGGCACGAAAGCGUGGGGAGCAAACA
This 206-nucleotide ribosomal RNA is filed under the name uncultured Peptostreptococcaceae bacterium. RNAcentral's name for it is "partial 16S ribosomal RNA". It matches the Rfam family "Bacterial small subunit ribosomal RNA", at positions 568 to 774 of the family's 1533-position model. The record is from RNAcentral. Lineage: Bacteria; Bacillati; Bacillota; Clostridia; Peptostreptococcales; Peptostreptococcaceae.